RNAcentral lists this long non-coding RNA (813 nucleotides) under Acanthaster planci (crown-of-thorns starfish). Its description in RNAcentral is "uncharacterized LOC110980777, transcript variant X1". Lineage: Eukaryota; Metazoa; Echinodermata; Asteroidea; Valvatida; Acanthasteridae. The record is from RNAcentral.
CUUUGACCUAUCCAGCAAGAAAAAGUGUAGUCACCGCUACAGUCGCAGUGCGCGAUGUCAGUGGCCCAAAGAUAUGGUACAAUCAUUUCUGAGGUCUCCAAUCAGCUGCAUGUACAACCUUGAACAUUCCGCCGUUGAACUUGGAGGACUGAAGAAUUCUGGGUAAGGCCUAUACCAAGUUGAAGUGGUGCCUGUUAGGGGCUCCGUUUAAUUAUCUGUCUUGCUUGGAGUGCAUGGAUCUCGUUUUCCGAGUGGUCAAGGGAUAAAUAAAAAUAGAAUUUGGAAGAAAAAGCCAGAGUUCUGACUCUACUGGUUCCAGGCCUGUCUUCCACCACCUGCUCUCCGCGCACAUGCCAGGGCACCCAACCGCGUGCCAUCACAUUAAUUUUGACACUGAACGACAAUUAACUUUAUGCAGACAUGAAAGCUUCGUAUAUGUAUAAGAUAAUUAUUAUUUUAAAGAUAAAUGAACUUUAAAGGCGAUUUUAAUUUAACAGUCUGUUCUAUCACUAUUCAAAAGCAGUACUCCUCAAGCAAAUGUUUUGUUGUUAGUCUGCCCAGUGUUGCAAAAUAAGAAACUUUUUCCUGCUACCUCAACCAUUUGGGAAAAAAAUAAUAACCUAAUAAACAUCUUCCUAUGAGCAUGAAGAAAACGCUUGAUACAAUGCAAAAUUUAAACAAAACCCUCAAUUAGAAACGGGGUGCUCCCCGGACAGUUUGCAAAGCAUACCAAAAAUCCACUCACCAAAAAACAUCGACAUUGAAAGAGAGCCGGCUUUUAAAUUACGCACUUAGGCCUACAACUCUGUCGUA